This 216-nucleotide ribosomal RNA is filed under the name Glomeromycotina sp. Its description in RNAcentral is "partial small subunit ribosomal RNA". The stretch from base 40 to 216 matches the Rfam family "Eukaryotic small subunit ribosomal RNA", at positions 686 to 864 of the family's 1831-position model. The record is from RNAcentral. Lineage: Eukaryota; Fungi; Glomeromycota.
GGGUCAGUAGGUUGGUCGUGCCACCGGUACGUACUGGUCUCACUGAUUCCUCCUUCCUGAAGAACCGUAAUGCCAUUAAUUUGGUGUUGCGGGGAAACAGGACUGUUACUUUGAAAAAAUUAGAGUGUUUAAAGCAGGCUAACGCUUGAAUACAUUAGCAUGGAAUAAUGAAAUAGGACGAUCGAUCCUAUUUUGUUGGCUUCUAGGAUUGACGUA